UGUUAUCUUCCUAUUCUCUCGAACUGUUCCUACCAUUUGACCCAGCCCUUUUUGAAUCCUGAAAAUUUUGCAGAUUUGUCAAACAUUUAAUUUUGAAUUCCAGUUUCUCGGCAUCUAUCUCUCGAAUUUGAGCUCAUCAUGUCGCGGCUCACCACUUGGAGAAAGCCAAAAAAGAUCGUCGGUUCUUCUUCCUCAACCCUACUCUCAAUUCCGCAACACGAACUUGUUCUUCCCUUCUCAUCCUCUCUCCUUUGAGCGCACCAGAAUCGUUGCUAUCACCUAACCUUCUAUUAAAAAACCCGCUGGGUCACCACCCUUAUCUGUAGUCUAGGGCUCAAUUUGUCUCUGACAACGAUUCAAGCCAAAAACGUCUUCAAUGAUUUUGGAUUUCGGCUUUGUUAUGUGGGGCUUGGAAGCAGUAUAGUUGGGAUUUGGGUUUUGAUCUAUAAACCGUCUACAGUAAUCUCUUCCAUUUUUUGGUGUUUAAUAGACUAUGAAACUAAUUUUUAUUACCACUCCUCUGUAUCUCUCUAAAAACAAAUUAGGAUUUUUUAAAUUUGAAUUUUAGAAAUUGAAAUCUGCAAAGCAUAUGGUCACAAAUUUGACUUUGUAGCUUGGGAUGUUAAUGUAAUUCUCUUUUGGUCUCAUGAACCUGCUGAUUCUCCUUAAAAAUCCAACAUACAUCUACAUGGUAUUGUUGAUCUUACUCACACUCUCACACCAUUGGCCCUUCAACAACCAUAUGUCUCAGGUUCUGACGAAUUCCCAUAUUAGGGAUGUUUUGGAUCUGAUGAAGAUUCUCUUGGAAAGUAUUGUUACUUUUCCAUACUUUUUCAGGAACUAAAAUCUUUAGAAAGGAGUUAUGAACUGUCUUGUAAGAGCUUCAGAUCUUGGAAUUUUAAAUCUGCACUAAAAAUGCAUCAAUUGCAACACCCAUUAUUAACAAACGAAGUUGGUGCAGGUCUUACUAGAUCUAUGUACAUUUGACUGCUUGCUUUACUAAGCAUCUUUGCCCAUCUAGAUUUCCACAAUUCAAGUUGGGGUGGUUGCACUACUCAAUUCCUAUUUAUUUGUGAUCAAUCACAUUUACCCUUUUAUUAUAUUUUGUUUUUUUUUUUUUUAUUCUUUUUGUUGACUUUUGAACUUUGUAUCUUGCCCGGCUUUUCGCUAACUUUUCUUUAAUUUUAAUAAAAAUAGACACUCUUCUAAAAUAAGUAUCCGUAAGGUUUCUUAGAAGAUUAGAUGUUGUUUUGUUCUUAAUAGAAUUAUGUACCUGGUGGUCCAAUCGUCGACUAGAUGUUGUUUUGUUCUUAAUAGAAUUUGUUAUUAACUUUUUUUUCUCA
RNA transcript from Lactuca sativa (garden lettuce), 1343 nucleotides. It is a transcript of the gene named formin-like protein 21b, with no coding region annotated. The record is from RefSeq and is a predicted model, not a curated record. Lineage: Eukaryota; Viridiplantae; Streptophyta; Magnoliopsida; Asterales; Asteraceae.